GUUCCCCUUCUGCUGUUCUUGUUGCUGCUUGGUGCUGUGUGAAGCGCACCAGGGCAGAGCCCGCUGGGGGCUCACAAGUGGGAGCGGUAAUUGCGAUUGGCUGUGGGAAAGGACAGGUUUGCAACAGAGACACGAAUUAGAACAUUCCCAUCAAGACUCUUGUUGCUCAAAUCUGCAUUUAGUUAUUGGAAAUAAUCUCAGGCCAAGAUUUCAGGGUCCUGUGAGAGCUGCCUCCAAGAGGGAGGGCCUGGCAGCAAUGUGUGCCUAAGUUUGGCAAUCUCCUCCCCAUCCCUCACUCACCGUCAUCGCCCCGUUUCCUACUUUUCAGGUUGCCCUUACGGUAUUUUCUUUUGCUGCCACCUCUCUUGACUCCCUUGUGAGGAGAUCGGCUCUUGCUCCUCCUCAUGCCAUGACUCUUUAAUUUGCGGCUGGUCGACAUGGUAAGUUCUGCCAAAAUGAGGGGCUUUGCAAGGCCCGGGGGCCAGGAGUCUGGGUAUUUAAGGCCUUGGCCAUUGUGACAGGGAAGGGGCAUGGCUCAGCAGGUGGGCGGGGCUCUACUGUGCUGUCACUCACCUUUGCUGCACUUUGGUCACAUUUGUGAAAUAAGGUGGUCCUUUUCGUGCAGCUCAAGGGCUGCCCUCAGUUUUGAGGUCCUUUUUAUGUUAAGUGAGGCUUUCCCAGAGAGGUGUUAUUGAGAAACUGAAUCCCAGCCCUGUGCCAGGCAUUGGAUGAGUACAAGAGACCAUUCAGAUAUGCUUCUCCUGCCUGUAGGAAAUGUAACAGUCAUUGAGUGUGUGUGUAUGCAUGACUGUUUAAGUCUCUCACAGCAUCCAGAGAUAAUAAAUUUAUUUCUGUAAGGACUUGACUCUACAGAACCCAAUUCAAUAUGAUCAAAAUAGAAAUAUUCCUUCUUUUUCAUCUAGGUCAGGAUUUCUCAGUCUUGGCACUGUUGACACAAUGGGCAGGGUAACUUUCAGUGGGCUGUCUUGUGCACCCUAGGAUGUUUGGCAACAUCCCUGGCCAUUACCCACUGGACACCAGAGAAGCCUGGCAGCUAUGACAACCCAAAAUAUUCCCAAACAUUGCCACCUGUUUCUUUGGGAGGCUGGGGAAGUGAGGGAAAAAAUGGCUCUGGUUCAGAACAAUUAACCUAAUCAUUUUUUAAAAUUCAGUCACAGAUAUUGAUCACAUAGCAUAUGCCAUACAUUUAGGUGGUAGAAAAUUAGUGGAGGAUAAACACACGUAGAUACUGUGCUCAUGGAACUCUCAGCCCACUGGGGAGAAAGCCAUUCAUCAGAUGUCUACAUAAAUCAGUGAGUAAGUACUUACGGAGUCAUUUUGGCUGGAGAAGGGCAGAGGGAAACUCCCUACAUGGUACAGGAUGAGGCUGGAGGGAGAGACAGAGAUCAAACCAUGAUCAAGUACAUUGGGAAGCCUUUAAAAAUGUUAAGAGGAUGGCAUGUGAGAUUAGAGGGUGCCAAGUGGGUGAUGUAUUGACUGGAGGAGCUGUGUAAAGGGAGAUGCUACUGUCAACAUCAAUGGUUCAGCAGAGAGAAAGAUUUGAUGAUGGUUUAGGUCUGGCCAGGAAAGGUGUUGAUUGAGAUCUAAAGUAGACAAGAGACCAAGGCUUGGUGACGGAUUGAAUUUGGGAGGUGAAAGCAGAUGGUGUCAAGGGUGUGGCUUUUGUUUCUGUAUAAUGCAGUUAUCUGGAUGCUGGUGCCAUUCAUGGGGAUAAAGGCCAGACAUGGGGAGAGUGAUGAUCAUGUACUUGGUAUAAGACAUACCAGCUUUGAAGUGCCUUUGACACUUACAAAUAGAUAUAUUGAAUGAUUAUUGGUGUAUAAGUCAUCCAGCCUUUCCUUUUUCCUCCAUUACACCUCAUAGUAAAUGCUUUGCUUUUGAAAAUGUUUCUUUCUUUUUUUUUUUUUGAGACCGAGUCUUCUCUUUUGCUCAGGCUGGAGUGCAGUGGCACAAUCUUGGUUCACUGCAACAUCUGCCUCCUGUGUUCCAGCAAUUCUCCUGCCUCAGCCUUCUGAGUAGCUGGGAUUACAGGCGUGUGCCACCAUGCCUAGCUAAUUUUUGUAUUUUUAGUACAGACAGCGUUUCGCCAUGUUGGCCAGGCUAGUCUUGAACUCCUGAUCUCAGGUGAUCUGCCCACCUUGGCCUCCCAGAGUGCUGGGAUUACAGACGUGAGCCACUGUGCCCGCCUCAUUCGGAUUUCUAUAGAACUUGUUUGCUAUUUCUUCCAUUUGUCUCUCCUCUCUCCAUUGUCAUUACCCUCAUUCAAGAACUGAGCAUCUUGUAUGCAGGAGAUCCUUAGCAAAAGUUGGUUGAAUAGAAGAGCGAAAGUAGUUCAAGUCCCACUCCCUGGUUUUCUGAUAUCUAUAGAUGGCAAAUUGAGUUUUGAAACCCAGAUUCCUUGUAUAGCCACCAUAUGUGACACUUUCCAUUUUCCUGCUUCUGGGCAGGUCUCUCUGGAGACCUUCUAUUGGUGACUUGUUGGUGACUUUUAUUCACAUGAAGAAGUUCUAUAAAACAGGCUGCUGGCUUGCUUGUUGGUAGUCCAGACCUUCUGCGUCCACUCAAGGCUGGUUGUUUCUCCUACAAACAUGCCCCCAUGAAAGCAGGGACCUCUGUGAAAGCAGGAAUUGAGAAAUUGGGCUCACUACUGAAUAUUCCCUGGGAGUUCAUCAGUCCUGCCACAGAAUAGAAGCUCAGUCUGCUGGAGUUUGCUGGGGGUCUAUUCCAGACGCUGUUGGCCUGGAUAUCACCAACGGAUGCUGCAGAACAGCAAAGAUUGCUGCCUGCUCCUUCCUCUGGAAGCUUUGUCCCAGAAGGGCUCCUGCCAAAUGCCAGCCGGAGCUCUCCCGUAAGAGAUGGGGCCUCCACGUGAAAAGUAACUACAAAACAGAACCAGAAAAUAGUCAUGCUGUUCAAGUGAGUUGGCAUAUCACUUCAUGCUACUUUGAAAUAAAAUUUCCUCUUAUUUUCUUAUGGA
Molecule: long non-coding RNA, 2998 nt
Filed under: Homo sapiens (human)
Lineage: Eukaryota; Metazoa; Chordata; Mammalia; Primates; Hominidae
Description: HSALNT0308918
Source: RNAcentral